This 426-nucleotide ribosomal RNA is filed under the name uncultured bacterium. RNAcentral describes it as "bacterial SSU rRNA". It matches the Rfam family "Bacterial small subunit ribosomal RNA", at positions 354 to 796 of the family's 1533-position model. The record is from RNAcentral.
GUGAGGAAUUUUCCGCAAUGGGCGAAAGCCUGACGGAGCAAUGCCGCGUGAAGGAUGAAGGCCUAUGGGUUGUAAACUUCUUUUCUCAGAAAAGAAUUAUGACGGUAUCUGAGGAAUAAGCAUCGGCUAACUCUGUGCCAGCAGCCGCGGUAAGACAGAGGAUGCAAGCGUUAUCCGGAAUGAUUGGGCGUAAAGCGUCUGUAGGUUGUUUAAAAAGUAUUCUGUCAAAGAUUAGGGCUUAACCCUAGAUAGGCAGAAUAAACUUUUAAGCUAGAGUUUGGUAGAGGCAGAGGGAAUCCCCGGUGGAGCGGUGAAAUGCGUAGAGAUCGGGAGGAACACCAAAGGCGAAGGCACUCUGCUGGGCCAAUACUAACACUGAGAGACGAAAGCGAGGGGAGCAAAUGGGAUUAGAUACCCCAGUAGUCC